CACGUAGGGUGCGAGCGUUGUCCGGAAUUAUUGGGCGUAAAGAGCUCGUAGGCGGUGUGUCGCGUCGGCCGUGAAAACCUGCAGCUUAACUGUGGGCUUGCGGUCGAUACGGGCAUCACUGGAGUUCGGCAGGGGAGACUGGAAUUCCUGGUGUAGCGGUGAAAUGCGUAGAUAUCGAGAGGAACACCAGUGGCGAAGGCGAGUCUCUGGACGACUCCUGACACUGAGGCACGAAAGCUAGGGGAGCAAACAGG
This 254-nucleotide ribosomal RNA is filed under the name uncultured bacterium. RNAcentral describes it as "partial 16S ribosomal RNA". It matches the Rfam family "Bacterial small subunit ribosomal RNA", at positions 524 to 776 of the family's 1533-position model. The record is from RNAcentral.